Molecule: ribosomal RNA, 122 nt
Filed under: Pteropus alecto (black flying fox)
Lineage: Eukaryota; Metazoa; Chordata; Mammalia; Chiroptera; Pteropodidae
Source: RNAcentral
GUUAUUUAAAAUAUCUAAAUAAGUCUAUGGCCUGAUCCCGUCUGAUCUCGGAAGCUAAGCAGGGUCGGGCCUGGUUAGUACUUGGAUAGGAGACCACCUAGGAAGACCAGGUGUUGUAGGCA